GGGUCAGUAGGUUGGUCGUGCCACCGGUACGUACUGGUCUCACUGAUUCCUCCUUCCUGAAGAACCGUAAUGCCAUUAAUUUGGUGUUGCGGGGAAACAGGACUGUUACUUUGAAAAAAUUAGAGUGUUUAAAGCAAGCUAACGCUUGAAUACAUUAGCAUGGAAUAAUGAAAUAGGACGAUCGAUCCUAUUUUGUUGGUUUCUAGGAUUGACGUAAUGAUUAAUAGGGAUAGGG
RNAcentral lists this ribosomal RNA (235 nucleotides) under Glomeromycotina sp. Its description in RNAcentral is "partial small subunit ribosomal RNA". The stretch from base 40 to 235 matches the Rfam family "Eukaryotic small subunit ribosomal RNA", at positions 686 to 883 of the family's 1831-position model. The record is from RNAcentral. Lineage: Eukaryota; Fungi; Glomeromycota.